RNAcentral lists this unclassified non-coding RNA (239 nucleotides) under uncultured Sphingomonadaceae bacterium. RNAcentral's name for it is "contains 16S-23S intergenic spacer region". Lineage: Bacteria; Pseudomonadati; Pseudomonadota; Alphaproteobacteria; Sphingomonadales; Sphingomonadaceae. The record is from RNAcentral.
UCCGGUUUAGCACCGGCAGUCUUUCCAGAAACCGUCCUACCAUGUCAAACGCUGGUAAGGUUCUGCGCGUUGCUUCGAAUUAAACCACAUGCUCCACCGCUUGUGCAGGCCCCCGUCAAUUUCUUUGAGUUUUAACCUUGCGGCCGUACUCCCCAGGCGGAUGACUUAACGCGUUAGCUGCGCCACCGAAACGCUAAGCGCCCCGACAGCUAGUCAUCAUCGUUUACGGCGUGGACUAC